Molecule: long non-coding RNA, 402 nt
Organism: Gadus macrocephalus (Pacific cod)
Lineage: Eukaryota; Metazoa; Chordata; Actinopteri; Gadiformes; Gadidae
Exons: 2
Source: RefSeq, a predicted model, not a curated record
CAUCCUGAUUCCAUGUGUUUCCAUGCUGAUUCCAUGUGUUUCCAUGCUGAUUCCAUGUGUUUCCAUGUGUUUCCAUGCUGAUUCCAUGUGUUUCCAUGUCUUCAAACAGGCCCUUCAGCAUCCGCCUCGGGCAAACGUACAAAGUUCACAAAAUGCCUAAUGGUACCUUAAUACUUCAUACUUAACACUUGGUACCUACCCAGUACAUAAAGUAUUUCUCAUGUUGUUAUCCAUAUGAAAACAGCAAAUCGUUCUCAGCUAGUUUUGUUAAACAACCGCCUUGCAAACAUUGACAUGUUUACCUCAGUCCAAACAAACGCGUCUGUUGAUGUUAGCUGUUCUCGUGGUUAGAUGUCGAAUAUUUACCGAGCAUCAACACAAUGAUGAAGAAUUAAAAGAGUC